Molecule: ribosomal RNA, 406 nt
Filed under: Verrucomicrobiota bacterium
Lineage: Bacteria; Pseudomonadati; Verrucomicrobiota
Description: Verrucomicrobia bacterium partial 16S ribosomal RNA
Rfam family: Bacterial small subunit ribosomal RNA
Source: RNAcentral
UGGGGAAUAUUGGGCAAUGGGCGAAAGCCUGACCCAGCAACGCCGCGUGAGUGAUGAAGGCCUUCGGGUUGUAAAACUCUUUGGACAGGGACGAAGAAAGUGACGGUACCUGUAGAACAAGCCACGGCUAACUACGUGCCAGCAGCCGCGGUAAUACGUAGGGGGCUAGCGUUAUCCGGAUUUACUGGGCGUAAAGGGUGCGUAGGUGGUCUUUCAAGUCGGUGGUUAAAGGCUACGGCUCAACCGUAGUUAGCCUCCGAAACUGGAAGACUUGAGUGCAGGAGAGGAAAGUGGAAUUCCCAGUGUAGCGGUGAAAUGCGUAGAUAUUGGGAGGAACACCAGUAGCGAAGGCGGCUUUCUGGACUGCAACUGACACUGAGGCACGAAAGCGUGGGUAGCAAACAGG